RNAcentral lists this non-coding RNA (24 nucleotides) under Arabidopsis thaliana (thale cress). The record is from RNAcentral. Lineage: Eukaryota; Viridiplantae; Streptophyta; Magnoliopsida; Brassicales; Brassicaceae.
AUAAAAUGGGCUGACCACGGGUUG